Long non-coding RNA from Gallus gallus (chicken), 3373 nucleotides. The record is from Ensembl. NCBI's taxonomy places the organism in Eukaryota, Metazoa, Chordata, Aves, Galliformes, Phasianidae.
CCGGGGGCGGCCCCGCGGGUGGGGCCCUCGCGCUGCCGCGGGGCUCCCCUGAGCCUUCUCUUCUCCAGACUGAACUAUCCCAGUUCCCUCAGCCGCUCCCCCGUCAGACUCGUGCUCCUGACCCCUCGCGGCUUCGUAUCCCUUGUCUGGACGCGCUCCAGUGCCUCGAUGUCUUUCUUGUAGCGAGGGGCCCCAGACUGCACACAGUGCUCGGGGUGUGGCCCCACCAGAGCCGAUGAGCACCGCGCUCCUGCUGGCUGCACUACUGCUGAUGCGUGCCCAAGCUUUGAGGCAGGACUGCAGAAUAUGGCUCCAAAUAAAGUCUGCGCUCCUGGUGCUGCAGAAACGCUGUUCGCUCUGAUGCAAUUCUCAACCGCAUCGCCACUGCUGGUUGUUUCCAUCAGAGAGGUAUCUGGUAAUCUGAAAAUGGAUCUAGAAGCCAUUGUUCUAGAUACUGCCGUUGACACGGUGAAAGGAAAGCUCGUGCCCUGCAGAGCUCAGGGCUGGAACAGAUUAAGCAAGCUGUGAGGACACCUGCCGAGAAGCCGUGCAGGUUUUUUCAGGUCUCACAGACUGUUGCAGAAGCACAAACGAACCUGCUGGAGCACUUCCCCUAAGCUGGAACACAAACAGACAGGUCCGAACAAAGAGGACGAAACUUCAGCUUACCUUGAGAAUGUUUGCUGGCUUCUAACAGGACCUCCAGCUUCGGAACAACCUCUCCGUUCUCCACGGAGCCAAGAAGAGCAGCUUGCAGAAACACAGCAUCUCUCCCAUGCAAGCCAGCAGCAGCGGCACGCACAAAGGUGAUGGGUCUCUCCACAGGCAGGCACACGUACGCACGGCGCACCGCCUCUCUGCACUGCCUGUCUCAUCUUGUCUUCGCCCUUCUGGAGAUUGCCUCUAGAAGACAGAACCCUCUUAUUUAAGCACAGGAGCAAAGCCACAGCAACAGCAGUGCAAAAUGCACUACAGAUCAGCUGGCAAGGUUGUUCAUUCUGCUAACAAAACUCCCCCAGUUCGUCCUUUGAUAUCUCUAACAAACUCCUCCACCCGCCCACAGCUGCCCAGUGCAGCUCCUGUGCUCUGUGGCAAACCUCAAGGCAGGUGCAGAGAAAUAUGUACCUCUCCAGAAAUGCUGCAGUGGUACUAACUAUCACAAGCCUUUCUUGUCGGGAAAGGAAGACUAGCCUAAUUCUGGGCCCACUGACACACGGUGCAAUAAAAAGGAAAUGAGGAGAGCAUCACAAGAUCCUUACUGCCACACUAACGUUGUCAAAACCAAACCUGCAGUGGGGUUGAAGGGCUGCUCUGUCAUUCCAGUGCCUUCAGUUUUAACUCAUCAUCUUCACCAAACUGUAGCAUGCAUGUAGGAGGCCAUAACUCACGGACUUCCUUCUCCCAUCGAUAAUCAUGUGACGUUUUAAAACAGCAGUCUAAAUUUAGCCCUGGAAAGAUAUGUUACUGAUUUCUGUAAGUGCUGUGACCCCCAAAAAAUAAUUCCUUGAUGUUGUCAUUUCCUCUUCAGCCUCUGCAAGAAGGAGGUUAGUGUGACGUGAAAACAUACAAACACAAGUUUGUAACAUUGAAACUUAGGCCACCAACUUAGUUAACAACUGAACUCACUCAUCAGGUCAAGGCUAUCUCCAGAAGUUUUGAGAUGUUGAUCUUUUUUCGAGGUUUCUCUAGUAGGAUCACCCACGUCAUUGCCAGCUUGAACUCAACUCUCUUUUGCCCUGUAAAAAAAAACAAAACAAAAAAAAACCCAUGGAAACUUCUUGUGAUCAUCGGUAUCACCAGCAAGGCAAACAACUGCACUUUUGUAGCUUCACGGGGAUAUCUGAAUACAUCCCAAUUUUGCUCUCAGCAAAGAAAGUCUGCACGAAGGCCAGCUGAAGGGUAUAAGUUCUCAGUAGGCAGAGGGUAGAUGAGUGGUGUCAGGUUCCUUUUGUUGUUUUCCUGCGUCUUCUGUUCCUUUGCCAUAUCCACAAUCUCACCCAGCCUCGUCCUAAUUAUGCUGAGUACUUCCUGGUUCCUUCUGUGCCUUUUGUGCCGUCUCUACAUUCAGAUAGUCUGUUGGUCUGUUUUGCUGGAUGUGUUUUCCUUCUCUCUGUAAUUGAAACUUUCUUGAAGUGUUCAGAAGGAAGAUUGUAUCAGUGUGUGUGCUCUCCAUAUCAUUAUCUCUGAGAGCACGCUGAGAAAAGCAGGGAUUCUGACGUGCUUUCCCACAGCACCAUAUUCUUCAUGAUUACUUAAUUUAUUCCUUCUGCAGACACACCAGGCUCAAUAAACCUUCAGGUACUUCUGUUGCUGGGAUGUUGUUCUUGCUCAUCUCUCGCCGAGCUUCAGGGAUAAGCAGUGUCAAGGCAGAAAGCAAACUGAUAGGCGACAGAGUUCUAAAAUUCUGAGUUUUCUAGAGGAUGCAAAUUGUUUCCUUUUACUACCUGACAGUGCAACACAAGUAACUUGCCAUGGCAACCAGUUUACGAGACAGAAAAAAAGUGAGCACCCCCAGGUGCUUUGUUACUGCAGUAAGGGAAGAGGCUGAGACCUUACCCUUUUUGGUCUCCAUUGAGCUGCACGUCAUCUAGGUAAGCCGUCAGUAGAAAUUUAUGCUGUGUUUGGUGCAAGUUAGCUGCUGCAUGAGCCUCUUUGAUACUUGGAUCAAAACUGAAGUGCAGUCAGAAGGAAAGAAGGAAGUGCUCAGAAGAAUUGAAACAAAGCUGGAUUCUCAGAAGCACAAGGCCUAAUCCAUAUCCGCAACAAGCUGACGCAACUCUGCAGAUGCCAGUAAGAGAUGAACCUGUUUCUUCAGAAAUUAAUUUGGUUUCCAUCCUCUGGCAGUCUCGGUUCUUUUCCCAAUUUCUUUCAAGAAAACUCUGCUCUGCAGAGCUGGGAGUAUUCUGGAGUUAUCUGGGACAGAAGAUGGCAUAGGCUCGCAGAGUCUGUGUUCACAUCCAUUCUCUUUACAGAGAUGCUUCUGGGAAGGGCAGACUUUUUGGUAUGCAGCUUACUUGUGUUGGUGAGAGAACUGAGAAAAGACAAAGUCACGUGGUUAAGGACAGCGAGGGAAAACCCUCCUAACUGCAAGGAGAGCAAAACUGAUCUCCGUUAGCUCAGAGGAGGAGGACUGUGGAAGCUGCUAUAUGUGCAAGUGUUCCUAGAAGCCAGUGUGCUUAAGGUAGGCUCAUUUGUUAAAAAUGAGCAGGCCUAGGAUAAAUACAGAAUGUUAGCUGUACACCUGAACUGGAAAGGGUGCCUUCUGGAGGACAGUCUUCGAAAGUGAAAGAAAAACAGAAAGUUUCUUAAUCCCUAGGCUACUGACGAGGUAUAGGUAACACUGCUCCCAUUGUGCAAUAGAAUAAAUAGGUGC